CGGCCGGGACGACCCGGUGCCGUUGACGGGACCACUCCGGGACGACCCGG
Molecule: non-coding RNA, 50 nt
Filed under: Kaistia soli
Lineage: Bacteria; Pseudomonadati; Pseudomonadota; Alphaproteobacteria; Hyphomicrobiales; Kaistiaceae
Also listed under: 1 other name
Description: Guanidine-II sequence
Rfam family: Guanidine-II riboswitch aptamer (mini-ykkC)
About the family: Simpler in structure and has fewer highly conserved nucleotide positions than the ykkC-yxkD leader. Despite this each of its two stem-loop structures directly bind free guanidine.
Source: RNAcentral